UCCCGUGUUUGCUUUACCUCUUUCUUCCUCUAUCUCUGCAAGAGUACGUUUUGAUGCCUUUACCCUCUGCAAUUUCAGUACCGUUUCUAGAGUCUUCUUUAAUCCGACUUGGGGUCGAAACUGCUGCCUAUAAAUACCCCUUUAUCCCAAAAAAUUUUCCCGCUCUUUCUGUAAUCCUGUGACAGAAAGAAGCGCAAUUUUUGAAGGU
RNAcentral lists this long non-coding RNA (208 nucleotides) under Capsicum annuum. Its description in RNAcentral is "long non-coding RNA (CANN_LNC020989)". Lineage: Eukaryota; Viridiplantae; Streptophyta; Magnoliopsida; Solanales; Solanaceae. The record is from RNAcentral.